GAUGAACGCUGGCGGCGUGCCUAAUACAUGCAAGUCGAGCGAACAGAUGAGGAGCUUGCUCCUCUGACGUUAGCGGCGGACGGGUGAGUAACACGUGGAUAACCUACCUAUAAGACUGGGAUAACUUCGGGAAACCGGAGCUAAUACCGGAUAAUAUAUUGAACCGCAUGGUUCAAUAGUGAAAGACGGUUUUGCUGUCACUUAUAGAUGGAUCCGCGCCGCAUUAGCUAGUUGGUAAGGUAACGGCUUACCAAGGCAACGAUGCGUAGCCGACCUGAGAGGGUGAUCGGCCACACUGGAACUGAGCAACGGUCCAGACUCCUACGGGAGGCAGCAGUAGGGAAUCUUCCGCAAUGGGCGAAAGCCUGACGGAGCAACGCCGCGUGAGUGAUGAAGGUCUUCGGAUCGUAAAACUCUGUUAUUAGGGAAGAACAAAUGUGUAAGUAACUAUGCACGUCUUGACGGUACCUAAUCAGAAAGCCACGGCUAACUACGUG
RNAcentral lists this ribosomal RNA (497 nucleotides) under uncultured bacterium. RNAcentral describes it as "partial 16S ribosomal RNA". It matches the Rfam family "Bacterial small subunit ribosomal RNA", at positions 28 to 507 of the family's 1533-position model. The record is from RNAcentral.